This 478-nucleotide ribosomal RNA is filed under the name uncultured anaerobic ammonium-oxidizing bacterium. RNAcentral describes it as "bacterial SSU rRNA". It matches the Rfam family "Bacterial small subunit ribosomal RNA", at positions 364 to 832 of the family's 1533-position model. The record is from RNAcentral.
UUUCGCAAUGCCCGAAAGGGUGACGAAGCGACGCCGCGUGAGUGAGGAAGGCCUUCGGGUUGUAAAGCUCUGUCAGGAGUUAAGAAAUAUAAGUGUGCUAAUACCACAUUUAUUUGACGAAGGCUCCAAAGGAAGCCACGGCUAACUCUGUGCCAGCAGCCGCGGUAAUACAGAGGUGGCAAGCGUUGUUCGGAGUUAUUGGGCGUAAAGAGCACGUAGGUGGGUUUGUAAGUCAGAUGUGAAAGCCUUCUGCUCAACGGAAGAAUUGCAUCUGAAACUGCGAGUCUUGAGUGUAGGAGGGGAGAAUGGAACUUCUGGUGGAGCGGUGAAAUGCGUAGAUAUCAGAAGGAACGCCGGCGGCGAAAGCGAUUCUCUGGCCUAUUACUGACACUCAGUGUGCGAAAGCUAGGGGAGCAAACGGGAUUAGAUACCCCGGUAGUCCUAGCCGUAAACGAUGGGCACUAAGUAGAGGGGUUUU